This 497-nucleotide ribosomal RNA is filed under the name uncultured bacterium. RNAcentral's name for it is "partial 16S ribosomal RNA". It matches the Rfam family "Bacterial small subunit ribosomal RNA", at positions 28 to 507 of the family's 1533-position model. The record is from RNAcentral.
GAUGAACGCUGGCGGCGUGCCUAAUACAUGCAAGUCGAGCGAACAGACGAGGAGCUUGCUCCUCUGACGUUAGCGGCGGACGGGUGAGUAACACGUGGAUAACCUACCUAUAAGACUGGGAUAACUUCGGGAAACCGGAGCUAAUACAGGAUAAUAUAUUGAACCGCAUGGUUCAAUAGUGAAAGACGGUUUUGCUGUCACUUAUAGAUGGAUCCGCGCCGCAUUAGCUAGUUGGUAAGGUAACGGCUUACCAAGGCAACGAUGCGUAGCCGACCUGAGAGGACGAUCGGCCACACUGGAACUGAGACACGGCCCAGACUCCUACGGGAGGCAGCAGUAGGGAAUCUUCCGCAAUGGGCGCAAGCCUGACGGAGCAACGCCGCGUGAGUGAUGAAGGUCUUCGGAUCGUAAACCUCUGUUAUUAGGGAAGAACAAAUGUGUAAGUAACUAUGCACGUCUUGACGGUACCUGAUCAGAAAGCCACGGCUAACUACGUG